RNAcentral lists this ribosomal RNA (123 nucleotides) under Triticum aestivum (bread wheat). RNAcentral's name for it is "partial small subunit ribosomal RNA". Lineage: Eukaryota; Viridiplantae; Streptophyta; Magnoliopsida; Poales; Poaceae. The record is from RNAcentral.
AUGACCAAAUCUGAGAGAGAGAGAGAGAGAGAGAAGCAAGAGGGAGAGACGGGAGGAAGAGGGAGGCACAGGGAGGCCGGCGCAUCCAACGGUGGUGGUGGUUUGCGCGGGGGUGGGCUCUAG